This 72-nucleotide transfer RNA is filed under the name Schistocephalus solidus. It matches the Rfam family "tRNA". Rfam says of the family: Transfer RNA (tRNA) molecules are approximately 80 nucleotides in length. Their secondary structure includes four short double-helical elements and three loops (D, anti-codon, and T loops). Lineage: Eukaryota; Metazoa; Platyhelminthes; Cestoda; Diphyllobothriidea; Diphyllobothriidae. The record is from Rfam by way of RNAcentral.
AGCCCAUGGCUCAAUGGUUAAAGCGUUUGACUACUGAUCAACAGGUUUCGGGUUCGAGUCUCGGGUGGGCUG